This 564-nucleotide ribosomal RNA is filed under the name uncultured bacterium. RNAcentral describes it as "partial 16S ribosomal RNA". It matches the Rfam family "Bacterial small subunit ribosomal RNA", at positions 355 to 1375 of the family's 1533-position model. The record is from RNAcentral.
UGGGGAAUAUUGGACAAUGGGGGCAACCCUGAUCCAGCCAUGCCGCGUGAGUGAUGAAGGCCUUAGGGUUGUAAAGCUCUUUCACCCGGGACGAUAAUGACGGUACCGGGAGAAGAAGCCCCGGCUAACUUCGUGCCAGCAGCCGCGGUAAUACGAAGGGGGCUAGCGUUGUUCGGAAUCACUGGGCGUAAAGCGCACGUAGGCGGACCGUUAAGUCGGAGGUGAAAUCCUGGGGCUCAGCCCCAGAACUGCCUUCGAUACUGGCGGUCUCGAGUCCGGAAGAGGUGAGUGGAACUGCCAGUGUAGAGGUGAAAUUCGUAGAUAUUGGCAAGAACACCAGUGGCGAAGGCGGCUCACUGGUCCGGUACUGACGCUGAGGUGCGAAAAGCGUGGGGAGCAAAACAGGAUUAGAUACCCUGGUAGUCCACGCCGUAAACGAUGAAUGCCAGCCGUCGGGCAGCAUGCUGUUCGGUGGCGCAGCUAACGCUUUAAGCAUUCCGCCUGGGGGAGUACGGUCGCAAGAUUAAAAACUCAAAUGAAUUGACGGGGUCAUAGCUGUUUCCU